AAAUUGAAGAGUUUGAUCAUGGCUCAGAUUGAACGCUGGCGGCAGGCCUAACACAUGCAAGUCGAACGGUAACAGGAAGAAGCUUGCUUCUUUGCUGACGAGUGGCGGACGGGUGAGUAAUGUCUGGGAAACUGCCUGAUGGAGGGGGAUAACUACUGGAAACGGUAGCUAAUACCGCAUAACGUCGCAAGACCAAAGAGGGGGACCUUCGGGCCUCUUGCCAUCGGAUGUGCCCAGAUGGGAUUAGCUAGUAGGUGGGGUAACGGCUCACCUAGGCGACGAUCCCUAGCUGGUCUGAGAGGAUGACCAGCCACACUGGAACUGAGACACGGUCCAGACUCCUACGGGAGGCAGCAGUGGGGAAUAUUGCACAAUGGGCGCAAGCCUGAUGCAGCCAUGCCGCGUGUAUGAAGAAGGCCUUCGGGUUGUAAAGUACUUUCAGCGGGGAGGAAGGGAGUAAAGUUAAUACCUUUACUCAUUGACGUUAC
RNAcentral lists this ribosomal RNA (488 nucleotides) under Escherichia coli. RNAcentral describes it as "bacterial SSU rRNA". It matches the Rfam family "Bacterial small subunit ribosomal RNA", at positions 1 to 478 of the family's 1533-position model. Lineage: Bacteria; Pseudomonadati; Pseudomonadota; Gammaproteobacteria; Enterobacterales; Enterobacteriaceae. The record is from RNAcentral.